Molecule: ribosomal RNA, 771 nt
Filed under: uncultured bacterium
Lineage: Bacteria
Description: bacterial SSU rRNA
Rfam family: Bacterial small subunit ribosomal RNA
Source: RNAcentral
UGCAGUCGAACGCGAUCCAGGAGCUUGCUCCUGGUGAAAGUGGCGCACGGGUGCGUAACGCGUAUGCAACCUACCUUAAUCAGGGGGAUAGCCCGAAGAAGUUCGGAUUAACACCGCAUAACAUCAGGAUAUGGCAUCAUAACCUGAUCAAAUAUUUAUAGGAUUAAGAUGGGCAUGCGUGACAUUAGUUAGUUGGUGAGGUAACGGCUCACCAAGACGACGAUGUCUAGGGGAUCUGAGAGGAUGACCCCCCACACUGGUACUGAGACACGGACCAGACUCCUACGGGAGGCAGCAGUAAGGAAUAUUGGUCAAUGGGCGGAAGCCUGAACCAGCCAUGCCGCGUGCAGGAAGACUGCCCUAUGGGUUGUAAACUGCUUUUGUACCGGAAUAAACCCUUUUACGUGUAAGAGGCUGAAUGUACGGUAAGAAUAAGGAUCGGCUAACUCCGUGCCAGCAGCCGCGGUAAUACGGAGGAUCCAAACGUUAUCCGGAUUUAUUGGGUUUAAAGGGUGCGUAGGCGGCUUUUUAAGUCAGAGGUGAAAACUUGCGGCUCAACCGUAAGCUUGCCUUUGAUACUGAAGAGCUUGAAUGAACUAGAGGUAGGCGGAAUGUGACAAGUAGCGGUGAAAUGCAUAGAUAUGUCACAGAACACCAAUUGCGAAGGCAGCUUACUAUGGUUUAUUGACGCUGAGCACGAAGCGUGGGAUCAACAGGAUAGAUACCUGGUAGUCACGCCUAACAUGAUACUCAUGUACAUAUACAGUAGCG